GGGAACAACAGCUGGAAACGGCUGCAACACCCCAUAGGCUGAGGAGCAAAAGGAGGAAUCCGCCCAAGGCCGGGCUCGCGUCUGAUUAGUUAGUUGGCGAGGCAAUGGCUUACCAAGGCGACGAUCAGUAGCUGGUCCGAGAGGAUGAUCAGCCACACUGGGACUGAGACACGGCCCAGACUCCUACGGGAGGCAGCUGUGGGGAAUUUUCCGCAUUGGGCGAAAGCCUGACGGAGCAAUGCCGCGUGAAGGCAGGAAGGCCCACGGGUCAUGAACUUCUUUUCUCGGAGAAGAAAAAAUGACCCGAUCUGAGGAAUAAGCAUCCGCUAACUCUGUGCCUCCGCC
Molecule: ribosomal RNA, 345 nt
Filed under: uncultured Alphaproteobacteria bacterium
Lineage: Bacteria; Pseudomonadati; Pseudomonadota; Alphaproteobacteria
Description: bacterial SSU rRNA
Rfam family: Bacterial small subunit ribosomal RNA
Source: RNAcentral